GGCAAGAUGGCCGAGCGGUCUAAGGCGCCGUCUUCAGGGUUCUGAAUUGGCGGUCCGAAAGGGCGUGGGUUCGAAUCCCACUCUUGUCA
RNAcentral lists this transfer RNA (89 nucleotides) under Thermothelomyces thermophilus ATCC 42464. RNAcentral's name for it is "Myceliophthora thermophila ATCC 42464 tRNA". It matches the Rfam family "tRNA". Rfam says of the family: Transfer RNA (tRNA) molecules are approximately 80 nucleotides in length. Their secondary structure includes four short double-helical elements and three loops (D, anti-codon, and T loops). Further hydrogen bonds mediate the characteristic L-shaped molecular structure. tRNAs have two regions of fundamental functional importance: the anti-codon, which is responsible for specific mRNA codon recognition, and the 3' end, to which the tRNAs corresponding amino acid is attached (by aminoacyl-tRNA synthetases). tRNAs cope with the degeneracy of the genetic code in two manners: having more than one tRNA (with a specific anti-codon) for a particular amino acid; and 'wobble' base-pairing, i.e. permitting non-standard base-pairing at the 3rd anti-codon position. The record is from Rfam by way of RNAcentral. RNAcentral also lists the same sequence under 1 other name. Lineage: Eukaryota; Fungi; Ascomycota; Sordariomycetes; Sordariales; Chaetomiaceae.